UUCAUUCGGCUGUCCAGAUGUA
RNAcentral lists this microRNA (22 nucleotides) under Macaca mulatta (Rhesus monkey). RNAcentral's name for it is "mml-miR-1298-5p". The record is from miRBase by way of RNAcentral. RNAcentral also lists the same sequence under 13 other names. Lineage: Eukaryota; Metazoa; Chordata; Mammalia; Primates; Cercopithecidae.